GAGGGUGCAGCUCAGUGGCAGAGUGUGUGCUUAGCAUGCACGAGGUCCUGGGUUCAAUCCCCAGCACCUCCA
RNAcentral lists this transfer RNA (72 nucleotides) under Camelus bactrianus (Bactrian camel). It matches the Rfam family "tRNA". From Rfam's summary of the family: Transfer RNA (tRNA) molecules are approximately 80 nucleotides in length. Their secondary structure includes four short double-helical elements and three loops (D, anti-codon, and T loops). Further hydrogen bonds mediate the characteristic L-shaped molecular structure. tRNAs have two regions of fundamental functional importance: the anti-codon, which is responsible for specific mRNA codon recognition, and the 3' end, to which the tRNAs corresponding amino acid is attached (by aminoacyl-tRNA synthetases). tRNAs cope with the degeneracy of the genetic code in two manners: having more than one tRNA (with a specific anti-codon) for a particular amino acid; and 'wobble' base-pairing, i.e. permitting non-standard base-pairing at the 3rd anti-codon position. Lineage: Eukaryota; Metazoa; Chordata; Mammalia; Artiodactyla; Camelidae. RNAcentral also lists the same sequence under 3 other names. The record is from Rfam by way of RNAcentral.